RNAcentral lists this ribosomal RNA (480 nucleotides) under uncultured Vibrio sp. RNAcentral's name for it is "bacterial SSU rRNA". It matches the Rfam family "Bacterial small subunit ribosomal RNA", at positions 20 to 493 of the family's 1533-position model. The record is from RNAcentral. Lineage: Bacteria; Pseudomonadati; Pseudomonadota; Gammaproteobacteria; Vibrionales; Vibrionaceae.
UGGCUCAGAUUGAACGCUGGCGGCAGGCCUAACACAUGCAAGUCGAGCGGAAACGAGAAGUAGCUUGCUACUUCGGCGUCGAGCGGCGGACGGGUGAGUAAUGCCUAGGAAAUUGCCUUGAUGUGGGGGAUAACUAUUGGAAACGAUAGCUAAUACCGCAUAAUGCCUACGGGCCAAAGAGGGGGAUCUUCGGACCUCUCGCGUCAAGAUAUGCCUAGGUGGGAUUAGCUAGUUGGUGAGGUAAUGGCUCACCAAGGCAACGAUCCCUAGCUGGUCUGAGAGGAUGAUCAGCCACACUGGAACUGAGACACGGUCCAGACUCCUACGGGAGGCAGCAGUGGGGAAUAUUGCACAAUGGGCGCAAGCCUGAUGCAGCCAUGCCGCGUGUAUGAAGAAGCCUUCGGGUUGUAAAGUCUUUCAGUCGUGAGGAAGGUUCAUCCUUAAUACGUUGGGAUUUGACGUUAGCAAAAGAANAANACU